Molecule: ribosomal RNA, 495 nt
Filed under: uncultured bacterium
Lineage: Bacteria
Description: partial 16S ribosomal RNA
Rfam family: Bacterial small subunit ribosomal RNA
Source: RNAcentral
GACGAACGCUGGCGGCGUGCCUAAUACAUGCAAGUAGAACGCUGAAGGAGGAGCUUGCUUCUCUGGAUGAGUUGCGAACGGGUGAGUAACGCGUAGGUAACCUGCCUGGUAGCGGGGGAUAACUAUUGGAAACGAUAGCUAAUACCGCAUAAUAGCAGUUGUUGCAUGAUAACUGUUUGAAAGGUGCAAUUGCACCACUACCAGAUGGACCUGCGUUGUAUUAGCUAGUUGGUGGGGUAACGGCUCACCAAGGCGACGAUACAUAGCCGACCUGAGAGGGUGAUCGGCCACACUGGGACUGAGACACGGCCCAGACUCCUACGGGAGGCAGCAGUAGGGAAUCUUCGGCAAUGGACGGAAGUCUGACCGAGCAACGCCGCGUGAGGGAAGAAGGGUUUCGGAUCGUAAAGCUCUGUUGUAAGAGAAGAACGAGUGUGAGAGUGGAAAGUUCACACUGUGACGGCAUCUUACCAGAAAGGGACGGCUAACUACGUG